Molecule: long non-coding RNA, 720 nt
Organism: Anolis carolinensis (green anole)
Lineage: Eukaryota; Metazoa; Chordata; Lepidosauria; Squamata; Anolidae
Exons: 4
Source: RefSeq, a predicted model, not a curated record
AGCUCGGCCGUUUAACCCAUUGCACCACCAAGUUAAUGGAAUGCAAAUUAAUUUUGCACUUUGGACUCAGUAGGUAUUGAAGAAAGGAAGAAAGCAGGGAUAGGUAAGAGAAACUUAACCAUUUUAAGAGCAGCUGAAACAAUGGGAUGAAUAAGAAGACUAUUCAAGGCUAUCUCUACCAAAUCAGGAUAUUUGGAAGAAUCUAGGGUAUUUCUACAAGUGAUGAAGGUCUGUUCUGCUGGUGAUUGGGUUGCAGCUGGAUGAUGUCUCCAGAUCCCCUUCUGCCAGAAUUUUGUGAAGCAGAAUCAGAAGUCAACCCUUACUGCAAUUCUUUCUUGUACCACCGAUCUCUGGUUGGACAGUGCUGUGAAAGCUCCUGUGUUUAUCUUGCCCUGUGAAAAGACAGACCACAAACUGGGGGCAAUGCUUGAAACUGCUACUUUUGCCCUUUGCUUUUGCAAGAUAAACAUUGAGAUUCUCACUGCAAAGGAAGUAUUUAAUAAAGUCUAAAAGAGUGCCUUGAAGAAAAAGAUUUUAAAAUGAAUCCCAUCACUUCCACUUUAAAGACGGGAUGAUUUCUGAUGAUUAGUUGAAGCAACAGCAAAUGUAAUUUGGGGUUUCUGUAAAAGAGACAACAAACCUUGAAAGUAAGGCAAUCUUCCUCUUAUUAGAAGCUGUACAGUCACGUCAUCUACAGGAAGAGAAGUUCAGAAUGCAAAU